GAUGAACGCUGGCGGCGUGCCUAAUACAUGCAAGUCGAGCGGACGGACGAGAAUCUUGCUUCUUUGAUGUUAGCGGCGGACGGGUGAGUAACACGUGGAUAACCUACCUAUAAGACUGGUAUAACUUCGGGAAACCGGAGCUAAUCCCGUAUAAUAUUUUGAACCGCAGUGUUCAAUAGUGAAAUACGGUCUUGCUGUCACUUAUAGAUGGAUCCGCGCUUCAUUAGCUAGUUGGUAAGGUAACGGCUUACCAAGGCAACGAUGCAUAGCCGACGUGAGAGGGGGGUAGGCCACACUGGAGCUGAGACACGGUCCAGAGUCCUACGGGAGGCAGCAGUAGGGAAUCUUCCGCAAUGGGCGAAAGCAUGACGGAGCAACGGCGAGUGAGUGAUGAAGGUCUUCGGAUCGUAAAACUGUGUUACGAGGGAAGAACAUAUGUGUAAGUAAACGUGCACAGCUUGACGGUAACUAAUCAGAAAGCAACGGCUAACUACGUG
This 497-nucleotide ribosomal RNA is filed under the name uncultured bacterium. RNAcentral's name for it is "partial 16S ribosomal RNA". It matches the Rfam family "Bacterial small subunit ribosomal RNA", at positions 28 to 507 of the family's 1533-position model. The record is from RNAcentral.